RNAcentral lists this ribosomal RNA (497 nucleotides) under uncultured bacterium. RNAcentral describes it as "partial 16S ribosomal RNA". It matches the Rfam family "Bacterial small subunit ribosomal RNA", at positions 28 to 507 of the family's 1533-position model. The record is from RNAcentral.
GAUGAACGCUGGCGGCGUGCCUAAUACAUGCAAGUCGAGCGAACGGACGAGAAGCUUGCUUCUCUGAUGUUAGCGGCGGACGGGUGAGUAACACGUGGAUAACCUACCUAUAAGACUGGGAUAACUUCGGGAAACCGGAGCUAAUACCGGAUGAUAUUUUGAACCGCAUGGUUCAAAAGUGAAAGACGGUCUUGCUGUCACUUAUAGAUGGAUCCGCGCUGCAUUAGCUAGUUGGUAAGGUAACGGCUUACCAAGGAAACGAUGCAUAGCCGACCUGAGAGGGUGAUCGGCCACACUGGAACUGAGACACGGUCCAGACUCCUACGGGAGGCAGCAGUAGGGAAUCUUCCGCAAUGGGCGAAAGCCUGACGGAGCAACGCCGCGUGAGUGAUGAAGGUCCUCGGAUCGUAAAACUCUGUUAUUAGGGAAGAACAUAUGUGUAAGUAACUGUGCACAUCUUGACGGUACCUAAUCAGAAAGCCACGGCUAACUACGUG